CACCCACGAUCCUUAUUUCCCAAGAUCCUUUUUUCAUUCUCUUAUAUAUGUCAGAUUCCUAGAUUAAAAUAUUAGAUAAACCACAAAUAGAUCAAAAACAAAAUAUGAGUUACUAUUCUUCUUCUUUGGUUAAAAAUCCUAAUUCAUAAUUUCAUAUCAAAUAUCCCAAACCAGUGCUGAGAUCAAUUUCUGAGUAAGGGUCCCCUUUCAUUGGCUUCGGCGGAGCUGGACAUUUGAAACCGGUUUAGGGAUAUGGAAGUCUGAAAAGAGUGGACAUGGUGGAGAAUUGCUUGAGAUUCGACUCGGAGAAAGAAUUUUUUAGAACGAGAAGAAAGAGAAAGGAAGAAGAGAAAGAUAGAAGUCAACGAGAAAUACCAACGUGGUAGAAACAGAAGAAUUAUCAAAAGGACUCUCUUCUUUCGGUUGUGGGUUGGAGGAUAUUGGGAUUCAGAUGGAUCUUACAAUGGUGGUCGAACUAAAUGUUGUCGAGUGGAUUUCAGACAACCGACACUUGAGAUGCUGAAAGAUGUUGUUUUGACGAAUGGGUAUGCAGAGAAUAUGAAUAAGUUUUCUUACUUCCCUAAUGGAGCUGUUGGGGGAAAUCGUGUGGCCUUGGUAGCUAAUAGUGAUGUAGAAGACAUGAUUAGAUGUAUUCAAGAUGUGGAUAGCUUGAAUGUAUAUGUCGUCAGGGAAGAUGAUCCAUGUUUAGAUGAUGUGCUUGUGGGAAAUGUAGAAGAAGAAGAGGAACAAGAGAAUGAGGAUGAGGCGUGUGAUUUCUAUUGAAAUGAUUAUGUUGAGAGUGAUGGGUCUGAUGAUGAAGAUGGCAAGAUAGAAUUUUUUUGGGACAGCAGUUUGUAUCGAAAGAAAAGUGCAAGGAGACCAUUGAGAAGUAUGCUAUCAAAGAGAAGGUGAACAUACAUUUCAAGAGAUCUGAAAAGAAGAAGAUAGAUGCAAAAUGUGUGCAAGAGUGUUGCAAGUGGAGACUGUAUGCUUCCAUUAACAGCCAAUCAGACAAGAUGGUUAUUCGGUCACUGGUAGGAACCCACAACUGCUACCCUAUAGGUGUUGUUGAUCUCUAUAGCGCACCAAAGAUAGCUGCAGAUUUUCUGAAUGAGUUUAGGCUCAACCCAAAGCUUUCAGCGGAGCAUAUAAUGCAAAGGUUGGCUAUAAAGGGUCUUCGGGUCACAAAAACGAAGUGUCAAAGUGCUAGGCAGAUUCUAAAACAUAUCAUAGGUGAUGAGUAUGCAGAGCAGUUUACAAGACUCUAUGAUUAUGUUGAGGAGCUAAGGAAGACCAAUCCUGGUUCUACGGUUAUAUUAGGAACAAAAGAUAGAGUUUUUGAAAAGUUCUACACAUGCUUCGAAUCUCAGAAAACAGGUUGGAAGAGUGCAUGUCGUCGUGUUAUUCAUUUAGAUGAAACUUUCUUAAAAGGACGCAUGAAAGGGAUAUUGCUAACUGCGGUGGGAAGAGAUCCUAAUGAUGCUACAUAUAUCAUUGCUUGGCCUAUUGUACCGGUUGAGAACAAGGUCUAUUGGGAGUGGUUUAUGGAGUUAUUGCGUGAAGAUUUAGGAUUAGAGGAUGGAAAUGCUUUGGCAUUGUCAUCAGAUCAGCAGAGGGGUCUUAUAUACACCAUCAAAACCGUCUUGCCUUAUGCAGAACAUAGAAUGUCUGCAAGACACAUUUUUGCUAACUUGCAAAAGAUAUACAAACAAAUGGGUCCUCUGCACAAGCUGUUUUGGAAGUGUGCCCAAGCAUACAAUACAAACCUUUUUCAUAGACAACUUGAGAAGAUGAAGAACAUCAAGCUUGAAGCUUAUGAGGAAGUUAAGACAAGUGUUGGUUCAAACUGGUCAAGGGCAUUUUUCAGUGAUGUGGUCAAGUCUGCUGCUGUUGAAAUAACAUAAGUGAGUCCUACAAUGCUGCUAUGAAAGAUGCUCGUGAGAAACCGAUUGUUGCUCUGCUAGAGGACAUUAGGCGACAUAUAAUGUCUAGUAACUUGGUGAAGCUGAAGGAGAUAGAGAAUGUGAGAGGAAUUUUCACACCCAAGGCUUUAACAAUAAUGGAAAAGAGGAAGCGUAGUUUGAAGUGGUGUAGUCCAUUGUCAAAUGGAAGGGGCAUCUAUGAAGUGGAUCAUGGGAAGCACAAGUACAUUGUUCAUGUCCGAGAUAAGACGUCGUGCACUUGUCGUGAGUAUGAUGUGAGUGGCAUACCUUGUUGCCAUAUCAUAUGUGCAAUGUGGGCUGAGUAUAAGGAAACAAAGCUCCCAGAAACAGUUAUUUCGGAGUGGUAUUCAGUGGAGAAGUGGAAGCUUUGCUACAGCUCGCUUUUGUUUCCUGUGAAUGGGAUGGAGUUGUGGGAAACACAUAGUGAUGUUGUUGUUAUGCCUCCUCCGGAUAGGAUAAUGCCAGGUUGACCCAAAAACAAUGAUCGAAUCAGAGAUCCAAGCGAAGAUAGGUCAUCACAGAAUUCUUAAAAAGCUCCAGUGUCGACUUGUAGCAACUGCCUCCAAACCGGUCAUAAUAAACGGUCCUGCAAACAAGAUCCUCUUCAUGUGGCUCCUAAACCGGUUCCUGAAAAUCCAUCUUACCAUGCUAAUGCUGUGAUGAGUUUCGUUUUAACGGGAGACGUUCACUAUUGACGACAAAGAUUACAGAGGGGUGAAAACAUUAACGGACAUAAAGUUGGAGGUUUAUUUCGAGUCUUUACUACCUGAUCAGCUAGAUGAAGCUGCAAACUACAUCAAAAAGCUACCGGUAAACGUGGAGAAAAAGAAUGAAAGGAAGAGGAAACUUGUUGCGACUUCAGCUUUCGACAAACUGAAUUCCAUUGGAUCUUCAUCGAUGUCUUGGAGUGUGGACGUCUCUGUACCAAGAAGGCUGCCAAAAUUGGAGAUUCAAGAAACCGGUCCGGUUCUUCACAUCUUUCUUGUGACAAGCAUGGAACACAAGUUUAUGUUCCAUGAGAUCACUCGUGUUAUCACUGAGGAAGCAGGAGCUGAGAUCACUCAUGCUGGAUACUCUAUUGUUGAUGAUGCCGUCUUCCACACUCUUCAUUGCAAGAUGGAAGAUCGUGAUUAUGGAGCUGGGAGUAGAAUUUCUGAGAGCCUGAAGAAACUUGUGAACACUGUCAACUAAUAUUCUCUUUAAUGUGUACCCUUUGGUCCUUCUCCUUGCAGCUUUUUCUAUAUUUUUUUCUUCUUAUUUUCUUGUUCCUUUUGUUGAAUUUUAUCUUGUCAUGUGAAAACGAUGUUUCAUUGUGAUAUUUAUCUUGUUAUAUAUCUACUAUAA
RNA transcript from Brassica oleracea var. oleracea, 3287 nucleotides. RefSeq lists it as uncharacterized. The transcript has 7 exons. NCBI's taxonomy places the organism in Eukaryota, Viridiplantae, Streptophyta, Magnoliopsida, Brassicales, Brassicaceae. The record is from RefSeq and is a predicted model, not a curated record.